UGCUAGCGAGACAAUUUCUUCGGAAUUUU
This 29-nucleotide small RNA is filed under the name Bombyx mori (domestic silkworm). Its description in RNAcentral is "ovarian small RNA-34099". The record is from RNAcentral. Lineage: Eukaryota; Metazoa; Arthropoda; Insecta; Lepidoptera; Bombycidae.